GGUUCGGUGGUGUAGUGGUUAUCACGUCUGUCUCACAUUAUGAACGGCACAGGAGGUCCCCGGUUCGAGACCGGGCCGAAUCA
RNAcentral lists this transfer RNA (83 nucleotides) under Lentinula lateritia. RNAcentral describes it as "tRNA-Val". It matches the Rfam family "tRNA". From Rfam's summary of the family: Transfer RNA (tRNA) molecules are approximately 80 nucleotides in length. Their secondary structure includes four short double-helical elements and three loops (D, anti-codon, and T loops). Lineage: Eukaryota; Fungi; Basidiomycota; Agaricomycetes; Agaricales; Omphalotaceae. The record is from RNAcentral.